CCCCCGAUGGUCUAGUUGGAUAUGACGUUUGGCUGCAAUAGAACAUUCUAUGUAACCAAAACGUAGCUGGCUCGAUUCCGGCUCGGGGGA
This 90-nucleotide transfer RNA is filed under the name Aspergillus transmontanensis. Its description in RNAcentral is "tRNA-Cys". The record is from RNAcentral. Lineage: Eukaryota; Fungi; Ascomycota; Eurotiomycetes; Eurotiales; Aspergillaceae.